RNAcentral lists this unclassified non-coding RNA (253 nucleotides) under uncultured Flavobacteriaceae bacterium. RNAcentral's name for it is "contains 16S-23S intergenic spacer region". It matches the Rfam family "Bacterial small subunit ribosomal RNA", at positions 524 to 776 of the family's 1533-position model. Lineage: Bacteria; Pseudomonadati; Bacteroidota; Flavobacteriia; Flavobacteriales; Flavobacteriaceae. The record is from RNAcentral.
UACGGAGGAUCCAAGCGUUAUCCGGAAUCAUUGGGUUUAAAGGGUCCGUAGGCGGGUCAAUCAGUCAGUGGUGAAAGUCUGUGGCUCAACCAUAGAAUUGCCAUUGGUGCUGUUGUCCUUGAGUUAUUGUGAAGUGGUUGGAAUAUGUAGUGUAGCGGUGAAAUGCAUAGAUAUUACAUAGAACACCGAUUGCGAAGGCAGAUCACUAAUAAUGUACUGACGCUGAGGGACGAAAGCGUAGGUAGCAAACAGG